GCCGGGAUGGCGGAAUCGGUAGACGCAGCGGACUCAAAAUCCGCCGCCAGUGAUGGUGUGGGGGUUCGACUCCCCCUCCCGGCACCA
RNAcentral lists this transfer RNA (87 nucleotides) under Betaproteobacteria bacterium HGW-Betaproteobacteria-11. RNAcentral's name for it is "tRNA-Leu". It matches the Rfam family "tRNA". From Rfam's summary of the family: Transfer RNA (tRNA) molecules are approximately 80 nucleotides in length. Their secondary structure includes four short double-helical elements and three loops (D, anti-codon, and T loops). Lineage: Bacteria; Pseudomonadati; Pseudomonadota; Betaproteobacteria. The record is from RNAcentral.